GUGAACGCUGGCGGUAGGCCUAACACAUGCAAGUCGAACGGCAGCACAGUAAGAGCUUGCUCUUACGGGUGGCGAGUGGCGGACGGGUGAGGAAUACAUCGGAAUCUACUUUUUCGUGGGGGAUAACGUAGGGAAACUUACGCUAAUACCGCAUACGACCUACGGGUGAAAGCAGGGGAUCUUCGGACCUUGCGCGAUUGAAUGAGCCGAUGUCGGAUUAGCUAGUUGGCGGGGUAAAGGCCCACCAAGGCGACGAUCCGUAGCUGGUCUGAGAGGAUGAUCAGCCACACUGGAACUGAGACGCGGUCCAGACUCCUACGGGAGGCAGCAGUGGGGAAUGUUGGACAAUGGGCGCAAGCCUGAUCCAGCCAUACCGCGUGGGUGAAGAAGGCCUUCGGGUUGUAAAGCCCUUUUGUUGGGAAAGAAAAGCAGCAGGUUAAUACCCCGCUGUUCUGACGGUACCCAAAGAAUAAGCACCGGCUAACUUCGUG
RNAcentral lists this ribosomal RNA (491 nucleotides) under uncultured bacterium. RNAcentral's name for it is "partial 16S ribosomal RNA". It matches the Rfam family "Bacterial small subunit ribosomal RNA", at positions 29 to 507 of the family's 1533-position model. The record is from RNAcentral.